Long non-coding RNA from Puntigrus tetrazona (Sumatra barb), 3396 nucleotides. RefSeq lists it as uncharacterized. The record is from RefSeq and is a predicted model, not a curated record. NCBI's taxonomy places the organism in Eukaryota, Metazoa, Chordata, Actinopteri, Cypriniformes, Cyprinidae. The transcript is spliced from 2 exons.
ACGACGUGAUCCAUACACCACAGGAAGAUUUUUUUUUUUCCUAUCUUGUUAAAUCUUUUAUAAUUUCCACUUCUACUGUCACCUCAGGAGGGUGGCGCUCAUUAUUUUAGGGCAUGCAGCUGAUUUGUAAUCGGAAUAAAAGAAUAAAACUCUCCCCUAAUGUAAGUUUCUUUGUUUACUUCCACCAUAUAACCAAAAAAUCUGCUUUCUCUCCCCCGCACCGCGCCCAACGAUUAAUUUCUCUGCGUUUUUUAAAUGGGUGAGACCUUUAUGCCUCCUUGUACAAUGGUGGCUAUUUAUCUGCUUAUGACAAGCAGAAAAUCCGAGCAGAAUAAAUGAAUGAAUACAAGCGAUCAUACAGCGCCACGUGACUUAACACCUGCAGUUAGCGCGCGCACUUUGGUGGGUCAUUUCCGGCAUUUUUUUUUUUUUUUAGCGUUCUAAUGCGUUCCAUUUAAUUCAAAACGUGAAGAAUGUACAUCGGAAUGCAGAAUUCAGCAGAACACGAGAUCGUUCAAUUGGCCCUUUGGGAAUAACUGGACAAACCACUUGAACCCAGCACAUCACCUCUGACCCUUGUGUCAGCUGUGACUGGUCCUCAAGAGACUGGGCUUGACAUCAACUUCUAUAACACUAAAGAGCACCAAUGAGGCUUUUUCACUGCCGGAUUGUAUACAUUUAUGUAAAAUAAACGUUCAAGGCUAAAUAAUAUUAACAGUGGGCCUGCAUUUUGACAAAGGCCUAACUCUAACGCCUCAUUAAAAUGUAUUUCACGGUGAUGUAGAUGUUUGGGACUUCACUUUUUUUUUGUUAGGUUAUUUUAGCAAUGCAUCAAGACUAAUACACAUCUUGCACGAACGUAAAGAAUGAAUAUCUCUUCUUAUUAAAGAAUAACGAAACAACCCCGUGUGCUCAUUUGCUUAAGCGUUAUUCAAGUUAUUUAAGAGGCUUGUUUAUAGCAAAGGGCACGCGUCUGGUCAGUUCAGAGUCAGUCUGACCUCUCGGUCCACUAUAACCCUAUUCUAUUGCCUAAAUCGCAGAGGUCAACUAGGAAAGCUAUUGUAAAGAUUAGGAGUGAUCAUGGAGCGUGUGUGUGCCUUAAAAAAUUUGUAUGCCCAAAAUGUCCCUUUGGGGGAGCCCUUAUUUGUAAAACUGGUAUAAAGAUAAAUUAAAUUUUUUAUUGCAAAAUGCAGCAAGUUUUCUGCUAGGGUUAGAGCGUGGGUUGUCAGGUUAUCAAAAAAAUUGUUAAAAAAAAAAAUAUUUAAAAACAAAAAUGUAUGCUAAGUCUAUACAAUGCAAUGUUCCCAUUUAAAUAUGUAAGAUGUGAACUUUUUUUUUUUUUUUUUUUGCAGGCUCCAGCAUAACAUUGAGACAAUUUAUCUGCACAUAAAGGCAUUUCUAAUCAUUUUUAAAAUAAAAGUUGUUUUAAAACGAACCACCAAAGAUGCACAGAACGCUCUGCUGCUGGAUAAAAACGGUAAUAAAAAAAACAUGGACGUUUUAAACCUUUUAAACGAACUAAUAUGCUGCAGUUGCAAAACGGCAGAUGAUUAGGGAACAGACGCAUGCUAACAACCUGAAAAAAAAACAGGCGCGCGCUGAAGGCAUUCUAACAAUAUUUCUUGGCCCAGCGGAAGCGCGCUCGCAAGUCUUCCCGUCUUGGUCAGAUACACCGUUUACAUUUGAAACAUUUCAAUGAGAAACUUUUGCGUAUUUCAAAAAACCCUGCUCAAUCAGAUGGCGAUUUUACUGGGGCUCACGCAUACGAUGCUGAUUUCACCCCGUGGCUGAUUUCUAAUUGCAAACUAAUGCUGUUACAAACUUACCCCGUCCAGGUCUCUCCUACAAUAUUAACUCGAUAUCCGACGACUAACGAGUCUCUUCUUUCUCCACGGGCUUAUCCAGAUAUGAACAAUGUGUUUUUGUUAGAUUUAGAUUGCUGUAAAUCUAAUACAGAGGUUGUUUAUCGCUUAUAGUAAACGUUUAUUGAACAGCAUAUGCGAUGGAUAAUUGUUCAGUGUGUGUUUUCUUUUUUUUUUCUUUCUUGUAAUAAAAUAAUAUAAAUGAAUGUGUUCUGCUGAUAUCGUCAGUUUGUUUCUUCCCAUCUUUUUUUGUUGAUUCGACUGAUGCAAGUCAAUUCCGCCAUAAUAAACGAUAUGCACUGGUAUCAUUGUGUAAGAAAAUAGAGAAAAGUUUCCGCAUCUUUGUUUCUUCGCAUAAAGGCAAAAACGCAGCAUUAAUUACACAUAAUUUGUACCUAGUUUAUUCAACGCAUUUAACAAUAGCCUGCUUAUAUUGUGGGAAGAUGAUAUUGAGAAAGCACUCUUUUUUUUUUUAGUCUUCUGUAAUCUACACGCUCCACAAAAUCCGAACGAAGCAACAGAACGAGACUUUUAUUUUAAAAUGUACAGAAAAGCGCCGCCAAUAGAAUAUAUAUAUAUAUCGAUUGAAAGCAAUCCGAGUAAAAGCAGGCGUAUCAUAAAACACACCAAACGUUUGAGUUCACCCACACGAUAUACCAUACCCUUUUUUACGAACCUGAAAACCUUUCAAGAAGCGAUCGGAACUGGAUAGAUAAAAAAAAUACACCCCUCAAAAUUAAUUUUCACUUGAGGAUUAAAUCUCGUCAGACGCGUCCAUCUUAACUCGAGAUUAUGACCCAACGCAAUUUAACCAGCGUUUUUACAUAUAUCAUAUACAUUACACAUAUAUAAUAUGCAUUACACAUUCUCAUCAGCCGUCAAGGUGCCAUCGAAAUGACCUUUGCCUCAAAAUAAUCUCAUUUCAUAACUAUUUAGAAGAUUUUUUACAUAUGCUUCACGCGCGGUGAACGGAAACGAUCAUUAACAGACGAGGAUAUCCCAUUGAAGGGACUAUAUGAAGUCGUUUGAUCUCCUUCCAGCGGAUGUAAAAAGCACUAACGCGUCACCCAACGCGCGCCGAGCUGACUCACUCCGGAGCAGCGCGUGCGUUUUUGUGCCUUGCGCAUGGAUGAGAGAGGUGAUUCACUGCUAGUUAUUUUGCGCACUUGCUUGUUAUGUGCUGUCCAAGGUGCUGACAGGAGCUCCAGAGCUGUGAGCCGUCAAGCUGCCUUGCAGUAGGUGGUUACAAAACAGCCUGUGGACACUACAUGUGAAGCGCCUCCUACAGUGCAUGCAUUUCUACAGAACACAACUUUAAAUUGCUUGCUCGGUGUCAACGGCCGUUCAUUUAAUGCUCAAAUGUCGUUUAUUUGUUGCAUACAUCACAAUCAGACAAAAGGAUAAUCCAAAGGGAGGCCGGGCAUAAUUCUCGCGUCAAAGCCCAUACAUUAAAAUGAUCUGGAUUGAGCACAGUUUCACGUACAUUAAAGAGGGACGUUUUAUAAUAACACAAAUCGAAAAUGGAAAGCACGUA